UGCAAAGCAUUGAAGAGGAAAAGUAAAAAAAUGAUGUCUAGAAGAGAGAACCAUCACCGGCUGAAAGUGGUUCAGACCUCUUGUUUUUUGAAGUGCCCCUCAGAGUCUUUUACCGAACAAUGUAGUAGGUAAGAGCGGUUCAGGCCGUUAUCCUGUAUAAGUGGGGAACAGUGAAUUUGCUGUUUCAAACAGAGUGGAACCGCGCAUUCAAAAGCGUCUCUGUC
This 224-nucleotide non-coding RNA is filed under the name Jeotgalibacillus soli. Its description in RNAcentral is "T-box sequence". It matches the Rfam family "T-box leader". From Rfam's summary of the family: Uncharged tRNA acts as the effector for transcription antitermination of genes in the T-box leader family. Lineage: Bacteria; Bacillati; Bacillota; Bacilli; Caryophanales; Caryophanaceae. The record is from RNAcentral.